This 253-nucleotide ribosomal RNA is filed under the name uncultured bacterium. RNAcentral's name for it is "partial 16S ribosomal RNA". It matches the Rfam family "Bacterial small subunit ribosomal RNA", at positions 524 to 776 of the family's 1533-position model. The record is from RNAcentral.
UACGAAGGGGGCUAGCGUUAUCCGGAUUUAUUGGGUUUAAAGGGUGCGUAGGCGGCCUCUUAAGUCAGUGGUGAAAGCCCGCGGCUCAACCGCGGAACUGCCAUUGAUACUGGGAGGCUUGAGUACAGACGAGGUAGGCGGAAUUGAAGAUGUAGCGGUGAAAUGCUUAGAUAUCUUCAAGAACACCGAUUGCGUAGGCAGCUUACUAGGCUGUAACUGACGCUGAGGCACGAAAGCGUGGGGAGCGAACAGG